CCUACGGGUGGCAGCAGUGAGGAAUAUUGGUCAAUGGACGAGAGUCUGAACCAGCCAAGUAGCGUGAAGGAUGACUGCCCUAUGGGUUGUAAACUUCUUUUAUAUGGGAAUAAAAUGUUCCACGUGUGGGAUUUUGUAUGUACCAUAUGAAUAAGGAUCGGCUAACUCCGUGCCAGCAGCCGCGGUAAUACGGAGGAUCCGAGCGUUAUCCGGAUUUAUUUGAGUUAAAGUGAGCGUAGGUGGUUGGUUAAGUCAGUUGUGAAAGUUUGCGGCUCAACCGGAAAAUUGCGGGGCUCAACCCCGGCGAGCCGUUGACACUGGCAGACUUGAGUUGGCGAGAAGGACGCGGAAUGCGCGGUGUAGCGGUGAAAUGCAUAGAUAUCGCGAAGAACUCCGAUUGCGAAGGCAGGGUACCGGCGCCAGACUGACGCUGAGGCACGAAAGCGUGGGGAUCGAACAGGAUUAGAUACCCUAGUAGUC
Molecule: ribosomal RNA, 480 nt
Filed under: uncultured bacterium
Lineage: Bacteria
Description: partial 16S ribosomal RNA
Rfam family: Bacterial small subunit ribosomal RNA
Source: RNAcentral